GGUUGAGGGUGAACACGGAUGCGGCCACUUUCAUUUUUGACAAAAACCAUCUGAAAAGUGACGUUUUUUGGCAUAUUUGAUAGAUUUUUCAUAUUUAAGCUUGAAUCAGAGCGUUUUUAAUGACUUAAUCACUUAAAAUCCUUCACAUAAACUCAUCGAAUCAAUUGAAAUAGACGCUUAAGUGUUUAAAAAGUGUCCAAAAACUUUCGUUAGAUGAACCUGAAAUUUGAGGCCAAAUUCGGCCCUUACCGGACCUACUCCUUUGCUUUCGCAAAU
RNAcentral lists this long non-coding RNA (276 nucleotides) under Mytilus galloprovincialis (Mediterranean mussel). The record is from RNAcentral. Lineage: Eukaryota; Metazoa; Mollusca; Bivalvia; Mytilida; Mytilidae.